Molecule: long non-coding RNA, 918 nt
Organism: Brassica napus (rape)
Lineage: Eukaryota; Viridiplantae; Streptophyta; Magnoliopsida; Brassicales; Brassicaceae
Exons: 3
Source: RefSeq, a predicted model, not a curated record
CUUGAAAAAGCGUAUCUUAAUUAAGCGAUAGAAGGUACGUCUCUUGACACACUUGUUACAGUUUUAUUGAGCAGAGGAAUUUGAGAGAUUGUAUCUCUCUCCUGACGGCUCUCUCUCGACGGCUCAGCCUAGAAUCCUUUCUUCUUCUUCUUCGUUACCGAGCACCACUCAGUUUUCUUCUUCUCUCUAUCCGCUCGCUCAUCCAGGUUUUGAAGCAAAACAUGAAUACAAUGUUUGGUUUGAAGGAUCCCCUAUUUCCAAGCAUAAGCCUUCUGCUUCUGCAUUCCACCCAUCUUCCAAGCCGAAUCCUUUUGAUUCAGAUGAUGAUUUGGGUGAUCAUAACAAGCACACCUUAAAGCCAUCCAACAAGAUUUGUGUUCAUCAGGGGAUUUGGAAGUUUGUUCAAACCCGGUUCGUGUAAUCUGAUCGACGACCAGGUUCCUUGUAUAACCAACGGAAGACCCGACGUUGAGUUUCAGAAAUUGAAGUGGAAGCCAAAGCAAUGCACUUUACCAAGGUUGAAUGGUGGCAAAUUGCUGGAGAUGAUUAGAGGAAGAAGGCUUGCGUUUGUUGGAGAUUCGCUGAACAGGAACAUGUGGGAAUCUUUGGUUUGUAUUCUUAAAGGAUCAGUGAAAGUUAAGAGUCAAGUCUUUGAAGCUCAUGGACGACAUCAGUUCCGUUGGGAGGCUGAGUACUCUUUUGUCUUCAAAGUAAGUUUCUUUCAGCAAUCAACAAUAUGUUUCAUUACUUGUUGAUAGGAUUAUAACUGUGUGCAGUUGAUAGGAUUAUAAUUGCACUGUGGAGUUCUUUGCAUCACCUUUCUUGGUUCAAGUAUGGGAACAAAUGAUCCUAGUUAUAUUAUGACUUUGUUUUAUGUUUUUAUUUAAAAAUCUAUGUUUAUAAUAUUAUCUUUUAAUA